UCGAGCACAAUUGGAGGGCAAGUCUGGUGCCUGCAGCCGCGGUCUUCUGGCUCCUGAGCGGAUAUCCCCGUUGUGGCCCUUUUAAGCUCGUCUCUUAAAUGAAGGGUAUCUGUGACAUGAAUACAUUCGUGUAUUUUGUUAUUCUGCUACCCUCCUUCUACAUUCGAUAGAUGAGUAUUCUUUUACUUGCUUAUGGUUUUAGACUUUUACUGUGACAAAAUUAUAGUGACUCAUAUAUGCAUUUGCUUGAGUAUAUUAUCAUGUAACAAUCUUGUCUAAUGUUCUCGAUACAUUUGAUUGCUUCAUUUGAUGACAAUAAGAUUAACUGGGACAGCUGGGGGAAUUCCUAUUCAAUAUGCAAAUGCGAAAUUCGCUGAUUUAUGAAAUAUGAACCAGUGCUAAAUCAUUUACCAUGGAUGUUUUCUUUAAUCCCGAACGAAAGUUAUGGGAUCGAAUAGGA
RNAcentral lists this ribosomal RNA (460 nucleotides) under Blastocystis sp. RNAcentral's name for it is "SSU rRNA". It matches the Rfam family "Eukaryotic small subunit ribosomal RNA", at positions 537 to 1007 of the family's 1831-position model. The record is from RNAcentral. Lineage: Eukaryota; Bigyra; Opalinata; Blastocystidae.